This is a long non-coding RNA of Passer domesticus (house sparrow), 2111 nucleotides long. RefSeq lists it as uncharacterized. The record is from RefSeq and is a predicted model, not a curated record. The transcript has 3 exons. Lineage: Eukaryota; Metazoa; Chordata; Aves; Passeriformes; Passeridae.
AGCACAGCCUUCAGAGCAGCAAGUGAGCAGUGCAGCAGGGCAGGGAAAGAUGCCUUAAACUCCUGCACUGAUCCUCUCCUCCAGAAUCAUUCAGAGGCCUAGAGACUCUGUCCCCUAUGGCUUUCAAAGUGGGAAAUCAAAGGGGAAUGAUGUGCUUUGUUCCACGGGGGAGCGGCAGGAAAGAAUUGGAAGACGUGGAGGGUAAGAGGCCACCUUUUCCCCACCAGAAAAUAGUGUACCCUUUCAGAGAGGAGAGAAUACAGCUAAUAAAACAGGCUGUGGUGCUCAUCAAGCACACCUGUGGUGUUCUUGCGUCCUGAGGAGGCUGUGAGCAGCCACAGCAUCCACCUGUGGCACAACCAGAGACACUUCAGGCACCGGCAGGAAUGACUGGGCACCCUGACAGAGCCUGGGGCCUGGGCCAGAGGAGCAAGCAUCUCUCAGCACCACGGCCUCUCUGUGCCUCACGUUCCCUGUCCCUGAGCCCGCCCCUGUGUCCCCUCUGCCUCUCUUUCACAGAAGGAGGGCUCAGGACUCCAAACCCCAGCGCGUGCAGGCCCUGGGAGCUCUGCCUGCAUCACACAGCACCAGCUGCUUACUGCAGCACAAGGAGCUGAAGCAAUGCCAGCAGAGCAGGAGUGGCCUGGUGGGAUGGGAAGCCAGGCACCCUCUGCACUAGGAAGAGGGGAAAAGGACCACUUACUUAACUGGAAAUUAAUCUCUGUUCUACUGCAGGGGGAAUAAAUUAUAUAAACCCCACAGCUGCUUGGCAUGGCCAGUAUCCUCCAGUGUCCCCACCACAUCCACUGAGCUUGCUUCAGAACAAAUGCCAUUGGCUGGGCAAGGCCCAAACAAGAGAGGAGACCCUUGAUGCUCUCAUGUUGCCAGAGAAGCAGAUGUGGCUCUGUACACGCUCCCAGCUUCCAGGGGCUGAGGAAUGCCAGAGCCACCAGACUCCUGUAACAACUCUGAACUGGAAGCUACAGAGCUGCACUCUAGGGGUGCCCUUUCCAAAGAGGCUGCAGGUGGGGUGAAUGCAGCCACUGCCUGCCCAGUGCCAGCUCACACGGCCUCUGCAGGCCAAGCCACAGCUCCCGGUGCUGCUGCUGCACUGCCAGGCUGCUCUUCUCAGGGCAGCUCCUGGCAAGCAGCACAGAGAGCUGCGUCCUCCCCUGGACACCUCCACAAUGUUCCUGUCUUUGAUUUACACUGGUGUCUUUCAAAAGCCAUGCCUGGCUGAAAAACCAGCAAGCCAACAGACUUCACCUGCAAGCAAGGACUCACUGCUGCAGGGCUUCUUCUGCCCCACCAAAAUACCCACAGUGCUGUGAGAUCAUGACACACCUGUGCUCAGCCUAGAGCCCUUGAGGGAGGCAAUUUCUGAAGAACCAGAGUCGGGUGGGUAGGUGAGGUGUCCCUGUGAAGGUGCUUGUAGAUAGUCACGGGCUCAGUGGGUUUUGUGCCCCAGCUGAUGCCUGCACAGCCGUGGGAGGGUUUGACUCCAGCAAGGAAGGGAAAAGAAACUCGUGGUGCGACAGGUGAAGUGAUUUGUGGUAAAUUAUUAAACGAGAAUAGCCAGCUGGUGUGCAGCACGUGCCAAGGCUAAACACCAAACUCCAGCCUCAGGAAGGGAAAAGGGCCUUGACUGGGGCCUGCACAGAGGUUUUCAGGAAAGCACCCAAAGUAGGUCCUGCUUGUACCUGAGGGUGGUAGCAGGGACACCAGCUCAACUCAUGACUGAACUUUGUCACACAAGGCGGAAAAACCGUGUGACUGUAGCCUUUCACGUCUAGCAAAAGCAAAAUCACGCUGAUUGAUAUUUGUGGAUUGCCUAACAAGGGCUAAGCAAACCUUGGUACAGUACAAACUGCCACACUAUUGAGGAGGCAAAACUGAGCAUCCUGGAUUCUCUGAGAAGAAGAUUUUCUUUUCAAGAAAAGCUUGCUCAGGUGUUUGACUUAUUUUUCAACAUCUCAUCUCAAAAGACCCAAAGGAUGAGAAUAGUGACUGCAGGAACACUUGGCCCCAAGCCCAGCAGAGCAAACCUGCUGUGGGAAAAAGCACCUUUACCUUUUCUUCCACCAUAAAGAAAAAAACCCCAAAUACCUUGA